GGCGGACGGGUGAGUAACGCGUAGGAAUCUACCUGGUAGUGGGGGACAACUCGGGGAAACUCGAGCUAAUACCGCAUACGCCCUACGGGGGAAAGCGGGGGACCUUCGGGCCUCGCGCUAUCAGAUGAGCCUGCGUUGGAUUAGCUAGUUGGUGGGGUAAUGGCCUACCAAGGCGACGAUCCAUAGCUGGUCUGAGAGGAUGAUCAGCCACACCGGGACUGAGACACGGCCCGGACUCCUACGGGAGGCAGCAGUGGGGAAUAUUGCGCAAUGGGCGAAAGCCUGACGCAGCCAUGCCGCGUGUGUGAAGAAGGCCUUCGGGUUGUAAAGCACUUUCAAUUGGGAGGAAAGGUUCACGGCUAAUACCCGUGAGCUAUGACGUUACCUUUAGAAGAAGCACCGGCUAACUCCGUGCCAGCAGCCGCGGUAAUACGGAGGGUGCAAGCGUUAAUCGGAAUUACUGGGCGUAAAGCGCGC
This 477-nucleotide ribosomal RNA is filed under the name uncultured Methylococcaceae bacterium. Its description in RNAcentral is "bacterial SSU rRNA". It matches the Rfam family "Bacterial small subunit ribosomal RNA", at positions 97 to 570 of the family's 1533-position model. Lineage: Bacteria; Pseudomonadati; Pseudomonadota; Gammaproteobacteria; Methylococcales; Methylococcaceae. The record is from RNAcentral.